This 99-nucleotide signal recognition particle RNA is filed under the name Ilumatobacter sp. Its description in RNAcentral is "signal recognition particle sRNA small type". It matches the Rfam family "Bacterial small signal recognition particle RNA". Rfam says of the family: The signal recognition particle (SRP) is a universally conserved ribonucleoprotein involved in the co-translational targeting of proteins to membranes. Archaeal SRP consists of a 7S RNA and homologues of the eukaryotic SRP19 and SRP54 proteins. The record is from RNAcentral. Lineage: Bacteria; Bacillati; Actinomycetota; Acidimicrobiia; Acidimicrobiales; Ilumatobacteraceae.
GACCGGGUCCUGUGCGACGGGCGCCCGUGAACCAGGUCAGGCCCGGAAGGGAGCAGCCUUCAUCGGCAUCGCUCGUGCGCCGCAGAUCGCCUGGUCGUC